This 484-nucleotide ribosomal RNA is filed under the name uncultured bacterium. RNAcentral describes it as "partial 16S ribosomal RNA". It matches the Rfam family "Bacterial small subunit ribosomal RNA", at positions 30 to 507 of the family's 1533-position model. The record is from RNAcentral.
AUUGAACGCUGGCGGCAGGCCUAACACAUGCAAGUCGAGCGGAUGAAGGGAGCUUGCUCCUGGAUUCGGCGGCGGACGGGUGAGUAAUGCCUAGGAAUCUGCCUGGUAGUGGGGGAUAACGUCCGGAAACGGGCGCUAAUACCGCAUACGUCCUGAGGGAGAAAGUGGGGGAUCUUCGGACCUCACGCUAUCAGAUGAGCCUAGGUCGGAUUAGCUAGUUGGUGGGGUAAAGGCCUACCAAGGCGACGAUCCGUAACUGGUCUGAGAGGAUGAUCAGUCACACUGGAACUGAGACACGGUCCAGACUCCUACGGGAGGCAGCAGUGGGGAAUAUUGGACAAUGGGCGAAAGCCUGAUCCAGCCAUGCCGCGUGUGUGAAGAAGGUCUUCGGAUUGUAAAGCACUUUAAGUUGGGAGGAAGGGCAGUAAGUUAAUACCUUGCUGUUUUGACGUUACCAACAGAAUAAGCACCGGCUAACUUCGCG